AAAUCUCAGGGGUCUCAGCUGGCUGCCCGAUCAAAUUCAAGCGGCUGUGGCUUUUCGUUGGGCCCCUGGAUGCCUUCCAAAAAAUAAAAAGAAAAAAAAUGGGAAAAAAAUCGUUUAUUGGAGAGGAGAAAAUUUACUGCGGUCACUGGCUUUUUGACAUGCCGCAAACUAUUUUCAAAUGUGCUCGUAGACGGAGUCGCAUUGCUAUUUCCUACAGAGUAUUCAUUUCGCUUUGGUCAGCGCAUUGGGAGUUUGCUUUUUUGUUAUUUUUAGCGCCGGCUAGAGUGAAGUGUGCCCGGUCCGUGGAGCAUCCUUCAACGUUUCUUAUAUGACGAUGGAGAUGAUGAUGUUGUCGGUUUGUUAGAGUGCGGCUGCUCGGGGGCCAGUUGAAAACUAAUAAAACGUCAAAGCAAUUUUGACAACAUGCAACUUGGAGAUCUUAAGAAGGCACAGAAACACACAAAAACCCACACAAAUCUACGGUUUGUGUUUGGAACAGCCUGUGAAUACUGCUCUCCGCAAAGCGAAAAGUUACUUCGUAAGUUUUUCAUCUUUUGCCAGUUUUUCUUUUCGCAAUGCUGCCUUCAUUUCGCCAUAUUCCAUAUUUCUCCUGGCCCUUGUUUGGCCAGGGGCCACUGUCUGGAGGGAAUCCAGAGAGAGCAAUGCGACUUGGAACGGGCUUAAAGCUAUCUAGCUGGCAUAUCAGCCAUAAAACCGAGCAUUAAAGCCGUGUGAAAAUUGCGGCUCAAGUGCUAGACUUUGGGAAACAAGAUACAUACAUAUGUAUAUGCUAGAUUAAAGGGUCGAGGAGGUGUUCUGGUGGUGAUAAGCGUUCUUUGUUUAUAGAGUUGUCAAGUGCUCAUAAAAAUCGAGAUACUCUGUGACCCUACGGCUACGACUACCUGCCGGGCGGAAUUGGACACGCCCGUUUUCGGCUAACAUGGGUUAAGUGCGGCGUCAUUAGCACACACACCCGCACAGUGGGACAAGAGCCGAGGAUGGAGCGGGAUUUGCGAUAUGCGAUUUGCCGGAACCACAGCGUGUUGCCGACACAUAAACAAUACACUCGGCUACAAGGUUGCGCGACAGUCAAACACAAACAGUUUUAUGGCCGAUAGUUGGAGGCUCUUCACACUCCGCAUCGCAUCUCACUUUGAAUGGAAAUGACUCAGUCCGACUUGACCGUACACUUAGAGAAACAAGCCCUUAACUUGUAUCCUUUUUAUUGUUCUUUAUGAAGUUAAACAUAAAAGUCAGGCAUUAAAGAAACCUAAUUAUCACAA
This is a long non-coding RNA of Drosophila santomea, 1283 nucleotides long. RefSeq lists it as uncharacterized. The record is from RefSeq and is a predicted model, not a curated record. NCBI's taxonomy places the organism in Eukaryota, Metazoa, Arthropoda, Insecta, Diptera, Drosophilidae. The transcript is spliced from 2 exons.